Molecule: non-coding RNA, 645 nt
Organism: Odocoileus virginianus texanus
Lineage: Eukaryota; Metazoa; Chordata; Mammalia; Artiodactyla; Cervidae
Source: RefSeq, a predicted model, not a curated record
UCUGCCGACAGCCCCACAAAGUAGGUGAUAUUUUUCUCCUUAGUUUACAGAUGAGGACACGGAGGCCCAAAGAGGCAGUGUGAGCUGCUUAGCCAUUCAGCCCUCAAUGAAAGAGCCCCUUUCUCCGACCCUUGCUGGAAGAAGGCGGGCCGAGAACCUGCUUUAGGAUGAGCCUCCAACUUUUGAUGGGAGCCCCAGGGAAGGCCCUGAGCCUCCCCCGGAGGCACUCAGCAGCCGCCCACUCGCAGGUCUUGCUCAUAAGACAGUUUCCCGUCUGCAAAAUGAGAUUGUUAUGUCUCAUAGCGCUGCUCUGAUGACGCAGGAAGCAGAGGCGUGGCUUCGUGUUAACCCUUUCUGCGCCAGCCCUGGCAGACCGUGAGGGCCGAGGAGGCACUCGGGAUCCUGUGUGCGGCUUGUGCGGCUUCCUGCGGGAUGUGUCAGAGCCUGCGGCCCGCUGCGAUUGCAGAGCUAUUCUUCUCCAAGCAGGAGGAAGGGGCCAGCUGGAUGGCAAGCCAGGCCAGGGCAGAGAUGACACCCGAGAUACCUGUGCUCAACGUAGGUCAGACUCCUGAAGGCCACAGCCAGGAUGACACUGGGCUCUGGGCUGGCCAGGGUGUGGACAGGGGUGAGCCAUGAACCCACGCU